RNAcentral lists this ribosomal RNA (562 nucleotides) under uncultured bacterium. RNAcentral describes it as "bacterial SSU rRNA". It matches the Rfam family "Bacterial small subunit ribosomal RNA", at positions 338 to 916 of the family's 1533-position model. The record is from RNAcentral.
CCUACGGGAGGCAGCAGUGGGGAAUAUUGGACAAUGGGCGAAAGCCUGAUCCAGCAAUGCCGCGUGAGUGAUGAAGGCCUUAGGGUUGUAAAGCUCUUUUACCAGGGAUGAUAAUGACAGUACCUGGAGAAUAAGCUCCGGCUAACUCCGUGUCAGCAGCCGCGGUAAUACGGAGGGAGCUAGCGUUGUUCGGAAUUACUGGGCGUAAAGCGUACGUAGGCGGUUAUUCAAGUCAGAGGUGAAAGCCUGGAGCUCAACUCCAGAACUGCCUUUGAAACUAGAUAGCUAGAAUCUUGGAGAGGUGAGUGGAAUUCCGAGUGUAGAGGUGAAAUUCGUAGAUAUUCGGAAGAACACCAGUGGCGAAGGCGACUCACUGGACAAGUAUUGACGCUGAGGUACGAAAGCGUGGGGAGCAAACAGGAUUAGAUACCCUGGUAGUCCACGCCGUAAACGAUGAUAACUAGCUGUUCGGGCUCUACGAGCUUGAGUGGCGCAGCUAACGCAUUAAGUUAUCCGCCUGGGGAGUACGGUCGCAAGAUUAAAACUCAAAAUGAAUUGACGG